CCUUCUUGCAAUCAUAUUAUUCAGACCCAAUAUCUCUAGGUUUUCAUAUUUUUUGUAAUAUCGGCAAACAAAUCUUUGUUUCGCUUCCCUUCUCUUCAGAUGAUUCGUCCUACGAAGAGCUCUCUAUAACGGCUCUGAUUUUCAUUUAUGUGCUCCCUAAAUCCGUGCGUUAACGUGAUUUACCGCAUUCGACCCACUCUCUAGCAUUGAAUCGACCUCUUCAUCUUCUAAUGUAACCGGCAAAGCUUUCCUAUAAAUUUGCAAGAUCCCAGUGAUGAACAACACAAUCUUAACGAAUUUUAGAAAUUAAUAAUCGUGGCUGAGUAGGUAUGCAGGCUUCUAUUUGUUUUCCCAAGUGAAGUAUUUUUUUCUUUUCCCCAGUGUUUAAUCGUCGGCAGCCAGACGCUGUGCUCUGUGAUCGAGAACGUUGCUUUGGUAAUGGCAAGCUUCCUCAUGUUCUUCACGAUAAAGAUUGGGAUAUAAUUUUGGAAUAGUCCAUUGUCUAUGGCUUCCAUCGGUUGGAACUGUAGACCUUAAAGAGGGCUCUAGCCGUUGUUCCACGAAAGAGAAAUGGUGGUGAUCCUGAUGGAAAUCCAAGUUCGCCAUCGAUCAAACAGAAGACUAUCAAGAUGAGGAUGACUAUAAGGAUGAAGCAGAGCUUGAGAUUUAUUGUAUCCAACAACGUCUGAGCAAAUGGGAUUAGUAAAUGGGAGAAGCUGACACAUAAGCAGAAUCUGAGGUAGAUCAACAGAUAGAAUAACUUUUAUGGUAUAGAAUUCAGAAAUUCAAUAACUAGACAUUUCUUUACAAGUCUUUUUCAUAUCCCUCUAUUCUUCUGUUUGAAAUGUGAGAUAUAUUUAGGGGAUUUAUUACAGAAUCGCAUGUUGAAAUGUUGUGACAGUGAUGAGCAUGCUUAUUACUCAUCGAUUAUGUCAUAUGGCAGGCGUAGCCUUGACAACCAAGGUAAUAAAAUCAGCUAAAAGGAGUAUUUGGCCAUGACUAUUUACCUUCUCUUUAUGUGUAUCCAUGUGCAAGAGUUAACUCACAUAUAUUGGUACCAUGAGAUUUAGAAACUAAAGAAAAUAAUAUAUAGUUGAACUGUUUUGUCCUGAUCGUACUGAUCUCAUUUUGUAUUUUUAUAAGAUAUUUUUCAAGUUGAGAUAAUCUUCGUGAUUGUCUCAUGGGAUAACAUUUUAGGAAGUUAAACAGAGAAAGUCAAAAGGUGCGGGCUUGACAGAUGAGUUGGCAGCUUGAAGAAGAAGACAUUUGUUCUCUCAGGAUAUUUUCAGUUAAGGAGUUGUUGAACAUAAGUAGAAGUGCUGGAUGUCUUUGGGAAUUACGAUUGAGGAUUGUAAUCAUAAACAAAGCAAAACUUAGGUCUUUUGAGGCGAGAGUUCAACAGAUCUUUAAGUGAUGGAUUUGUAAAAUUUUUAUUCAGAUUCGGUUAUUCAGUGUACGUCCGUACCAUUUUGUAAGUCAUCUUUUUAAAUUGAAUAACAAGUUACAGAGAUUUGAAGGUGAAA
Brassica napus (rape) is the source of this 1523-nucleotide long non-coding RNA. RefSeq lists it as uncharacterized. The record is from RefSeq and is a predicted model, not a curated record. The transcript has 4 exons. NCBI's taxonomy places the organism in Eukaryota, Viridiplantae, Streptophyta, Magnoliopsida, Brassicales, Brassicaceae.